UAUUUUAAUAGCUUAUAAUUAAAGUAUAAUAUUGAAGAUAUUAGGAAAGUAAAUUUACUUUAAAAUAUAAAAAUAUAU
RNAcentral lists this transfer RNA (78 nucleotides) under Microtrichalus sp. A00356. RNAcentral describes it as "tRNA-Phe". RNAcentral also lists the same sequence under 1 other name. The record is from RNAcentral. Lineage: Eukaryota; Metazoa; Arthropoda; Insecta; Coleoptera; Lycidae.